AAUACGUUUGUAUUCAAUGUGUGACUUGCGCAAACGUGUGCGUUUGUAUUCAGUGUGACUGUCAAACCUCAGACAAAACAAAGGUUGGGCGGGGUCAAGCGUUUGACCCCGCCCACAUUGAGACCCGCCCCGAGUUGCACACUGCAGUCAGCGGUGGUGGUCCAUAAACCAAGGGGUACUUCAGUCAGUGCACUAUGCCAAUGUCACUAGCUCUACCCGCAUAUGUGAUAAGGUUGACAGAAAGAACUCUGGGAGUUUAUAUUUCAUGGUCGCACAUUGAGAUUUGUUGUUGCAAGUACGAAUCGCAAUGUGUAAUUUCGCAAGCUUGUAUCGUGUGAGAAAUGUAACAAUGGUCGCAAAUGUGUAACUUGACAUUUGAAUACAUUCAAUAAGAUUUGGAAGCAUCAUUUAUUUUAAUUAUUACAAGUCAAUUUACGACUGAAUAUUCUGCAGUGCAUCAAAAAUACACUUGCAGAUAUCUGCUCGGGGGUUCUGUCACGUUACCAAGAGACUCGUGAACUUGUAGGUUUUGUUCAUUUGUAGAAAGAGAUUCGCAAUCAGCCAAAACCACCUAAUACUGCAACUAUUGGCUGGAUUGUUCUAUCAAUCACAUCUCAGGAAGUAAUUUGAAGGUGGAGGGAGUAAGAUCACUAGAAAGCAGAAAACCGCAAGACAACCAAAGGACCCUAGAGGCCUCUGCAUGCUGUGACAUGGGCCUGGAUGGUGAAACACCUGCUUCCAGCUGCCUGACUGAAUAUUGGGGCCUUCAGUUGUACCUUACAUCACAGCAAGAGUCUCCUUAUCUCUGUCUGUCAUUUAACAUGUAUUAUGUAUCCACUCAUUCAUGAAAACUGCUACAGACACAAGAACUGCACCUGAGUGAUGAUAGCCAGCUAGCUGAGCCAUCGCGUGAGAAAUCAAAUCAAACUUUGUCACAUGCACCGAAUACAAGUGUAGACUUUACCUUGAAAUGCUUACUUACAAGCCCUUAACCAACAGUGCA
This is a long non-coding RNA of Salmo salar (Atlantic salmon), 1003 nucleotides long. RefSeq lists it as uncharacterized. NCBI's taxonomy places the organism in Eukaryota, Metazoa, Chordata, Actinopteri, Salmoniformes, Salmonidae. The record is from RefSeq and is a predicted model, not a curated record.